This 73-nucleotide transfer RNA is filed under the name Thermofilum pendens. RNAcentral describes it as "tRNA-Tyr". It matches the Rfam family "tRNA". Rfam says of the family: Transfer RNA (tRNA) molecules are approximately 80 nucleotides in length. Their secondary structure includes four short double-helical elements and three loops (D, anti-codon, and T loops). Further hydrogen bonds mediate the characteristic L-shaped molecular structure. tRNAs have two regions of fundamental functional importance: the anti-codon, which is responsible for specific mRNA codon recognition, and the 3' end, to which the tRNAs corresponding amino acid is attached (by aminoacyl-tRNA synthetases). tRNAs cope with the degeneracy of the genetic code in two manners: having more than one tRNA (with a specific anti-codon) for a particular amino acid; and 'wobble' base-pairing, i.e. permitting non-standard base-pairing at the 3rd anti-codon position. The record is from RNAcentral. Lineage: Archaea; Thermoproteati; Thermoproteota; Thermoprotei; Thermofilales; Thermofilaceae.
GGGGCCGUUGUCCAGCCUGGUAGGAUGGCCCUGUAGCGCCGAAUCCCGGGUUCAAAUCCCGGCGGCCCCACCA